Molecule: long non-coding RNA, 259 nt
Filed under: Brassica napus (rape)
Lineage: Eukaryota; Viridiplantae; Streptophyta; Magnoliopsida; Brassicales; Brassicaceae
Description: long non-coding RNA (BNAP_LNC005455)
Source: RNAcentral
UUGGAGCAGCAGCCGCACAGCCCCAGUCAGAGGUCCCCGACUUCCAACACAUCCCGAACAUUCCCAUGUGCGAUCAUGGUGACUUCAGCACGUUGUUUUGGAUGCUCUUCACGCCAUCUGGGCGAGAGUGUCACAGUGCCGCUGCGUUACAAGAGGGAGUGUGCAUGCACGAUCUCCAUCAGCUGCAGUACCGUCACUCCAGCCAGAGGAUGACACCGAGGACGACAUAUAUGAGGACUAGUCUUCGUCUUCCUAUCCC